Molecule: ribosomal RNA, 439 nt
Filed under: uncultured bacterium
Lineage: Bacteria
Description: partial 16S ribosomal RNA
Rfam family: Bacterial small subunit ribosomal RNA
Source: RNAcentral
CUACGGGACGCUGCAGUGAGGAAUAUUGCACAAUGGGGGGAACCCUGAUGCAGCAACGCCGCGUGGAGGAUGACGCAUUUCGGUGUGUAAACUCCUUUUAUAUGACAAGAAAAUGACGGUAGCAUAUGAAUAAGCACCGGCUAACUCCGUGCCAGCAGCCGCGGUAAUACGGAGGGUGCAAGCGUUACUCGGAAUCACUGGGCGUAAAGGACGCGUAGGCGGGUUGGAAAGUCAGGUGUGAAAUCCUACAGCUUAACUGUAGAACUGCACUUGAAACUUCUAAUCUAGAGUAUGGGAGGGGGAAAUGGAAUUAGUGGUGUAGGGGUAAAAUCCGUAGAUAUCACUAGGAAUACCUAAAGCGAAGGCGAUCUCCUGGAACAUUACUGACGCUAAGGCGUGAAAGCGUGGGGAGCAAACAGGAUUAGAUACCCGUGUAGUC